RNAcentral lists this transfer RNA (72 nucleotides) under Camelus dromedarius (Arabian camel). It matches the Rfam family "tRNA". Rfam says of the family: Transfer RNA (tRNA) molecules are approximately 80 nucleotides in length. Their secondary structure includes four short double-helical elements and three loops (D, anti-codon, and T loops). Further hydrogen bonds mediate the characteristic L-shaped molecular structure. tRNAs have two regions of fundamental functional importance: the anti-codon, which is responsible for specific mRNA codon recognition, and the 3' end, to which the tRNAs corresponding amino acid is attached (by aminoacyl-tRNA synthetases). tRNAs cope with the degeneracy of the genetic code in two manners: having more than one tRNA (with a specific anti-codon) for a particular amino acid; and 'wobble' base-pairing, i.e. permitting non-standard base-pairing at the 3rd anti-codon position. The record is from Rfam by way of RNAcentral. Lineage: Eukaryota; Metazoa; Chordata; Mammalia; Artiodactyla; Camelidae. RNAcentral also lists the same sequence under 1 other name.
GAGGGUAUAGCUCAGUGGUAGAGCAUGUGUUUAGCAUGCACGAGGUCCUGGGUUCAACCCCCAGUACCUCCA